This is a long non-coding RNA of Vespa velutina, 1812 nucleotides long. RefSeq lists it as uncharacterized. The record is from RefSeq and is a predicted model, not a curated record. The transcript is spliced from 3 exons. Lineage: Eukaryota; Metazoa; Arthropoda; Insecta; Hymenoptera; Vespidae.
AAUUGAAAAAAUAAAAUUCUAAAUCUCUAUGGGAACUAAAAUAAAAAUGUAAAAUUCGAUCGAAUGAAAUCUAAAAUUUUUCUACAAGCAUCAAUGUAAUCAUAUAGAGUUUUAUAACUCAUCCUCGUAAACGAAUUUACCAAGCAUAAGUGUGGGAGGAACUCUCCAUGGUUCCUCGGUCCUACACGUUUGGUGGCCGGAGAAAUUGCAAUUUAUAACGUCGAGAGCGUGAGUGCAACGGUAUAUACGUGAAGUUAUACGACGUCGUUGGCAGAGAAGAAACGAGCGAGCGAACGAACAAGCAAGCAGAGUCCAAAUGGAAUGGUCGGCAUCGAGAAAACGGUCAUCCUUUUUAAAACACAUGCUGAUCCGUUCGCAAAACGUAUAUAUGUACGCUCAUGGAAUAACUAUAAAGAAAAUGCUGACAGACUAAAAGUGAUUCUCAAUUAUGGAAUAUUGAUCGAUGGCACCACUCUAGGUAGUCGGUUCGCCACGAUCGGGCACGUCGAUCGUAUGACCUGGCACGGAGGACGUACGUGGGAUAACCGGCAUGAGAGCGCAAGCAGAGAAAGGAGAAUCGCGAUACAGCGUGGGCAAAGGAAACGUUAAGCCUCUUUCGGUAUGCCACAACCAAAAACGAUUUCGAGUUCUAUGCCUUUCUUACUCGAUGACGUUCAACGAUCCGGUUAUGAGUUUACGUUCCUAAAUGAGAUAAAUGUGUUUGAACGACACUUUCUUCGUAGGAUGAAUGCUUCGUGUCUCCCUGCAACAUGAAGUAAAUGUAUUCGAUUUCUGAUCACUUUCAUAAAAAUUAUUAUAUCAAUGAAAUUUUCAUUUGAUACACGUUUCUUGUGAUACUUUCUGAUAUAUAUACAUAUGUUUUUAUUAUAAUAAUAGAAAUGAGCAUAUAAAAUAUAUCAUAAAAUACUAAGAACAAUCAUAAGAAUCAUGAUAAAUUUCAGAUAAGAAUAAAUAAAAUGACGUAAUGUUUUGCGGUCGAUUCCGCGAAUUGAGCUACUUGGUUAAAUUAUAAACAGGAAUCAUAUAUAAAUGUGAUCUAUCUAUUGAUAUUUUGAGAAAUCGCGAGUUUCUAGAAACAUACGUUCACAUUUUGCUAUUUUUCUUAAUGAAAACGUUUUUUUGACCAUCAGUUUAUAGUAUUAUUAUCAUGUUCCUUCGUUUCAAUAUAUACAUAUCCGAUUUAAAUGAAUACACGUGAUAAUUUCUCUAAGUAUUAAAAUUGUCAAAAAAUGUUUCAAAUGAAUAUUAUAUGUAUCAAGUAGACACACCAUAAUAAUAAUUAUUUAAUUUUACGAUAAUAUUAAAAAACUCUGUGAAGCUCACGUUAAAAUUUUUAAAUGAUAUCGAAUAAUUGACAUCAAAUCAUUUUCAAAACACUACUAAUUUGUGUUUCUUACAAAUCAAUAUUGAGAUAUUAGGUCUCAAAGGUGAUAUACCGCUAUAUAUUUAUAAAGGCCGACUGAGCAAUCCGCUCACGAUAUAUAUUGGAUAACGGCAUAUGUAAUGUAAGAUAUAUUAACUUUAAGAUUUAAUAUUUCGAUAGUGAUUUAUGCAUAAGACAUAAGUAAGUAAUGUUUUGAAAACAUUUCAAUUUCGAUUAUAUUAUGCAAUGAAAAAAUUAUAGUUUUCAUUUACAAAUAUAAGCAAAAUAAAGCUUUCCAAAGUCAUCACAAAGUCAAAUAAUUAUCAUUAUAAUGAUAUGUCAUACGGCAUUCGUUUAAAAUAUUCUUUUACAUUUUUAAUAUUUACAGAACAAUCGCAUGUAUACGUAUAAACCGGACAAUUGUGUGU